AGAAAAUUAGGGUUUCAGACUUCAUUAGAGAUACUCGUCCAUAAAGGCAACAUUUUUGCCCAAAAUCCUAUUCUUCCCAGCUGGCAGAAGCAGAGAGCCUACACUUUGAUCUCAUACCAUGACUUUCAAGCGUAGGAAUGGUGGUCGCAACAAGCACGGCCGUGGCCAUGUCAAGUUCAUCCGCUGCUCUAACUGUGGAAAAUGCUGUCCCAAGGAUAAGUCAAUCA
Molecule: long non-coding RNA, 227 nt
Organism: Hibiscus syriacus
Lineage: Eukaryota; Viridiplantae; Streptophyta; Magnoliopsida; Malvales; Malvaceae
Exons: 3
Source: RefSeq, a predicted model, not a curated record